AGCAACUUGUAGUAUCAAGUUGUUAAAAUGUUUCAUGUUUUGGUUAUUUUCGCUAUCUUGCAUACGUGUUGUAGGUUCUCCUACUGCAGAGCAACAAGCUGCUACACGUCUCUUGCAACUGUGGGAACAGCGGAAUUUACAAUGAUCAUCACUUCAGCCAUAUGCAGUGAGACUGCUACAGGGACAGCCGUACUGCAGCAUGGCCUUGCCUCCUGCUUCAGGCCAUCUGUGAGAGAUGGCAGAGGUGGGUUUGUGUUUGCUUGGGAU
This 267-nucleotide long non-coding RNA is filed under the name Junco hyemalis (dark-eyed junco). Its description in RNAcentral is "lncRNA (ENSJHYG00000017232.1)". The record is from RNAcentral. Lineage: Eukaryota; Metazoa; Chordata; Aves; Passeriformes; Passerellidae.